AACGAACGCUGGCGGCAGGCCUAACACAUGCAAGUCGAGCGGACCUUUCGGGGUCAGCGGCGGACGGGUGAGUAACGCGUGGGAAUAUGCCCUUCUCUACGGAAUAGUCCUGGGAAACUGGGGGUAAUACCGUAUACGCCCUUUGGGGGAAAGAUUUAUCGGGGAAGGAUUAGCCCGCGUUGGAUUAGGUAGUUGGUGGGGUAAUGGCCUACCAAGCCGACGAUCCAUAGCUGGUGUGAGAGGAUGAUCAGCCACACUGGGACUGAGACACGGCCCAGACUCCUACGGGAGGCAGCAGUGGGGAAUCUUAGACAAUGGGGGCAACCCUGAUCUAGCCAUGCCGCGUGAGUGAUGAAGGCCUUAGGGUUGUAAAGCUCUUUCAGCUGGGAAGAUAAUGACGGUACCAGCAGAAGAAGCCCCGGCUAACUCCGUG
RNAcentral lists this ribosomal RNA (433 nucleotides) under uncultured bacterium. RNAcentral's name for it is "partial 16S ribosomal RNA". It matches the Rfam family "Bacterial small subunit ribosomal RNA", at positions 29 to 507 of the family's 1533-position model. The record is from RNAcentral.